Molecule: ribosomal RNA, 468 nt
Filed under: uncultured bacterium
Lineage: Bacteria
Description: partial 16S ribosomal RNA
Rfam family: Bacterial small subunit ribosomal RNA
Source: RNAcentral
GACGAACGCUGGCGGCGGGCUUAACACAUGCAAGUCGAACGGAAAGGCCCUGCUUUUGUGUGGUGCUCGAGUGGCGAACGGGUGAGUAACACGUGAGUAACCUUCCCUUGACUUUGGGAUAACUGCAGGAAACUGGGGCUAAUACCGGAUAGGAGCUCCUGCUGCAUGGUGGGGGUUGGAAAGUUUCGGUGGUGGUGGAUGGACUCGCGGCUUAUCAGCUUGUUGGUGGGGUAGUGGCUUACCAAGGCUUUGACGGGUAGCCGGCCUGAGAGGGUGACCGGCCACAUUGGGACUGAGAUACGGCCCAGACUCCUACGGGAGGCAGCAGUGGGGAAUAUUGCACAAUGGGCGGAAGCCUGAUGCAGCAACGCUGCGUGCGGGAUGACGGCCUUCGGGUUGUAAACCGCUUUCGCCUGUGACGAAGCGUGAGUGACGGUAAUGGGUAAAGAAGCACCGGCUAACUACGUG